Non-coding RNA from Oryza nivara, 196 nucleotides. The record is from Rfam. Lineage: Eukaryota; Viridiplantae; Streptophyta; Magnoliopsida; Poales; Poaceae.
UUUAAGUGUAACCAUGAGUUUUCGCGCUUAAUUUUGAUCGUUCGUCUUAUUUAAUUUUUUUAUAAUUAGUAUUUUUGUUGUUGUUAUGAGAUGAUAAAACAUAAUAGUACUUAACUCGUGACUUAUGUUUUUGUUUCUUUUUUCAAAUAAGACGGAUGAUCAAAAUUGGACACGAAAAACCAUAACUGCACUUAAA